ACUCCUACGGGAGGCAGCAGUGGGGAAUAUUGCACAAUGGGGGAAACCCUGAUGCAGCCAUGCCGCGUGUGUGAAGAAGGCCUUCGGGUUGUAAAGCACUUUCAGCGAGGAGGAAAAGGGGUGUAAGUUAAUACCUUACACNGUGACGCUACUCGCAGAAGAAGCACCGGCUAAACUCCGUGCCAGCAGCCGCGGUAAUACGGAGGGUGCGAGCGUUAAUCGGAAUUACUGGGCGUAAAGCGCAUGCAGGUGGCUUGUUAAGUCAGAUGUGAAAGCCCGGGGCUCAACCUCGGAAUUGCAUUUGAAACU
RNAcentral lists this ribosomal RNA (309 nucleotides) under uncultured bacterium. Its description in RNAcentral is "bacterial SSU rRNA". It matches the Rfam family "Bacterial small subunit ribosomal RNA", at positions 335 to 634 of the family's 1533-position model. The record is from RNAcentral.